RNAcentral lists this ribosomal RNA (253 nucleotides) under uncultured bacterium. Its description in RNAcentral is "partial 16S ribosomal RNA". It matches the Rfam family "Bacterial small subunit ribosomal RNA", at positions 524 to 776 of the family's 1533-position model. The record is from RNAcentral.
UACAGAGGGGGCAAGCGUUAUUCGGAAUUAUUGGGCGUAAAGGGCGCGUAGGCGGCGAUUCAAGUGACGGGUGAAAUCCCUCGGCUUAACCGAGGAACUGCCUGUCAGACUGGGUUGCUUGAGACCGGGAGAGGCGAGUGGAACUGCGAGUGUAGAGGUGAAAUUCGUAGAUAUUCGCAAGAUCACCAGUGGCGAAGGCGGCUCACUGGCCCGGUACUGACGCUGAGGUGCGAAAGCGUGGGGAGCAAACAGG